CAAUUGUGACCUCCUGUAAAGAGGCUUAGUUUUUGGUUUGUUUCUUUGGAGGGGGAGUUAGUUGAAAUAAACCACUCUCCUCUUCUUUUGUUUGUUUUCUGUGAACUGGGCUGCAGAAAGGCCUGGCUACUUUCAUUCUGUGAAUCUCUUGUGUACCUUGAAAGAGGGAGGAUUUUUUCAGUUUGGCUGGAGGAUCAAAUUACCCUUCUUGUCAGAGGGAAACCAAGGCAGAAGAUCUGCACAUGACAAAAAGGCCCAGUUGGAUACAGCUUUAUCAAACCAGUUUGCUCAUCCCUAGAUAUGGUGGCCAUAAAGCAUGAUAUCUCAUGAUACAUAAAUGGCAAUACACUCAGUCUACAUUGGAACCAGCAUACAGCUCUGUGAAAGGAGAGACUGAGAUGCUGAGCACCCACAAUUUGAACUGAAGUUAAUGGAAGCUGCUAGAUGCCCAGUGCCUCUGAAAGUCAGGACCCUUAUGAGAGACUACAGCAGAUUCCACAAAAGGUAGAUAUGUUACUGGAAUAGCUGUAUUUUGUGGUUGGAAAUUCACUAUUUAAAAAGUAAGCUACAAAGUGAUGAACCAGGAAGUGGAAGUUUCAAUGUAAACAUCCAUCUCUCCACUGCCCUACUGUGACUUGUAACACAAGCAGGGGCGGCUGUACCAAUUUUGCCGCCCCAGGCAGUUACCGCCGAAUUGCUGCUGUGCCGGGGCAGAAGAGCGGCAGAGCUGCCGCCAAAUUGCUGCCAUGGGACACGGACUGCCGCCCCAUUCUCAGUGCUUGGAAAGCUGGUGCCUGGAGCCGACCCUGAACACAGGUGUCUGACAUGGGUGGAUUUACAUGUCUGUGUAGUUUAGUGUGCAUACACGGUGACUCACCACUGACGCUUCAGCCUUAAGUUUGCAUUUCUUAACUUUCCUCAAAUCAAAACUUCACAACCCCAGUGUUACUUUAAAAAGGGAGAGUUCAAUUUAGUACAUUACUAUUUUUUUUCCUACACAGGAUUCCUUGUACAGGACUUUAGUAGGACCAUAUAAGCCCUGUACUUCAAAUCACUCACUUCAAUUUUUGUUUUAGUGAACAUUGCUGGCUAUGGACACUGAACACCGAAAGAAAGACUUUUCCUUUUCUGUUAAAUGACUACAAAACUUUGUAUGCUUGUAACAUUUAAAUUGAUGGAGGUAGCGAUCAGUGUCUGAGAGUACUUAAAGCAUUAUUAAAUUCCCCUUUUCACUUGGAUUGAUCCAAGUAUGAAGCAAUAGCUCUCCGUCUUC
Molecule: long non-coding RNA, 1273 nt
Organism: Chelonia mydas (Green sea turtle)
Lineage: Eukaryota; Metazoa; Chordata; Testudines; Cheloniidae
Exons: 3
Source: RefSeq, a predicted model, not a curated record